UGGCUCACCAAGGCUUCGACGGGUAGCUGGUCUGAGAGGACGAUCAGCCACACUGGCACUGCGACACGGGCCAGACUCCUACGGGAGGCAGCAGUAAGGAAUAUUGCGCAAAGGACGAAAGUCUGACGCAGCGACGCCGCGUGGGGGAUGAAGGUCUUCGGAUUGUAAACCCCUUUCGGGAGGGAAGAUGGAAUGGGGUAACCCAUUUGGACGGUACCUCCAGAAGCAGCCACGGCUAACUUCGUGCCAGCAGCCGCGGUAAUACGAAGGUGGCAAGCGUUGUUCGGAUUCACUGGGCGUACAGGGAGCGUAGGCGGUUGGGUAAGCCCUCCGUGAAAUCUCCGGGCCUAACCCGGAAAGUGCAGAGGGGACUGCUCAGCUAGAGGAUGGGAGAGGAGCGCGGAAUUCCCGGUGUAGCGGUGAAAUGCGUAGAGAUCGGGAGGAAGGCCGGUGGCGAAGGCGGCGCUCUGGAACAUUUCUGACGCUGAGGCUCGAAAGCGUGGGGAGCAAACAGGAUUAGAUACCCUGGUAGUCC
This 535-nucleotide ribosomal RNA is filed under the name uncultured bacterium. Its description in RNAcentral is "bacterial SSU rRNA". It matches the Rfam family "Bacterial small subunit ribosomal RNA", at positions 261 to 796 of the family's 1533-position model. The record is from RNAcentral.